UGGACGCAGCAGUGCAGAUGAGGUGUCACCAGAGCAGAGCAGAGAAGCAGAAUCCUCUCCCUCUGGUGAGACCCCACCUGCAGACUUUGCUGGCCACACUGCUUUGGAUGCAGUGUGCAGGCUACUGAGCACUGGCCUGUCUUAUGACUGUCUCCCACAGUUCCCUUACUUGGCAGCACAGAUCCUCAAUAAGUGCCCAUGUCCUGCCCGCUUUGAGACUGUCUCCCACUUCACUAGCCUGGUGAGGGGUUCCAGGCAUGCCCUGUAGCCUGAGACCUGCAGAGAGGCAUCCUCCUUCCAGAGCAAAGUAUUAACACCAAUCUGUGUGUGUGAACUUCAGUGGUUAUUCCAGAAUUUUCUAACGAACACUUCAAUUUAGAGAGCAAUUGCUUUGCCAUCAGAGAAGCUUUUGUGGCCAGAAGGAUCAAUGCAGGGAUGGAUUAAGAUACUUUCCCAGCAUGGAAAAGGAGCAUCCAGGUGGAUGAAAGCUGCUCUCCACGCACUGAGUUUUCUGAGGCAGUUGUAGGCCUGCAAGACAUUGCUGAGCUGGGGGAAGGUGAUGAGUAAUUGCCUUUGCACCAUUGUCCUGCUGGGGAAGAAGGAUUGUGUGGUGCUUAGCAGCUGACCAGGGUCAACUCAUAGCAAUUAGAUACAGAAAUACCGUGGAUGGCAGUGCCAAAAGCCUUGCUGAAGUUAAGAUGAUAUUGAGACAUGUCCUCAGGAGCAGAAGAACACAACCAAAAAAUUAAGAAGAGAAAAACUACUUGGGUUCUUUCUCUGACCCACUCAGGCAAAAU
Long non-coding RNA from Vidua chalybeata, 797 nucleotides. RefSeq lists it as uncharacterized. Lineage: Eukaryota; Metazoa; Chordata; Aves; Passeriformes; Viduidae. The transcript is spliced from 4 exons. The record is from RefSeq and is a predicted model, not a curated record.